This 99-nucleotide non-coding RNA is filed under the name Wolbachia pipientis. The record is from RNAcentral. RNAcentral also lists the same sequence under 1 other name. Lineage: Bacteria; Pseudomonadati; Pseudomonadota; Alphaproteobacteria; Rickettsiales; Anaplasmataceae.
UGGAGCCGUGUGCGGGAAAUCCGCAAGCACGGUUCUUUUGGGGAGACUAUGGUUAUGAGACCAAAUCGCUGGUUUCAAGGUCAUGAGUCUCUACCAGAC